GGAAAUUAAGUCCUCUGAAGGAUACUUCUGGGAAGCUCUAACAGACAGGUCUUCAUCUCUUGUAGUUCCUGGAUCUGAGUACUCUGCGGACCACAGUGUACUGAUAAAAUCUCCUCGGCUCUUUGAAUUGUGCUCAGAGCUUCAGAAACUGCAAAUCCAUUGAAGAGAAUUUGUGCCAGUUUGAAAAGUUCAUGACCCAUUUCUACACUUGAUGGCCCAUGAUGCAUUUCCACAAG
RNAcentral lists this long non-coding RNA (236 nucleotides) under Gallus gallus (chicken). The record is from RNAcentral. Lineage: Eukaryota; Metazoa; Chordata; Aves; Galliformes; Phasianidae.